AUAAUACUCCAUAGAUUAGAGAUACUGGAAUGUUCUUUAGUCAAAAGUUCUGGCGCCUUAGGAUGGAUCUGCGGUCGAUUAGGUUGUUGUUGGGGUAACGGCCCAACAAGCCUGUAAUCGAUACGGGUUGUGGGAGCAAGAGCCCGGAGAUGGAAUCUGAGACAAGAUUCCAGGCCCUACGGGGCGCAGCAGGCGCGAAAACUUUACAAUGCAGGAAACUGUGAUAAGGGAACCCCGAGUGCCCGUAUACGCGGGCUGUCCAGGUGUUUAAAAGUCAUCUGAAGAAAGGGCCGGGCAAGACCGGUGCCAGCCGCCGCGGUAAUACCGGCGGCUCGAGUGGUGGCCACUAUUAUUGGGCUUAAAGCGUCCGUAGCUGGACUGAUAAGUCUCCUGGGAAAUCCGCCGGCUCAACCGGCGGGCGUCUAAGGGAUACUGUUGGUCUAGGGACCGGGAGAGGUGAGAGGUACUCCGGGGGUAGGAGUGAAAUCCUGUAAUCCCCGGGGGACCACCGAUGGCGAAGGCAUCUCACCAGAACGGCUCCGACAGUGAGGGACGAAAGCUGGGGGAGCAAACCGGAUUAGAUACCCGGGUAGUCCCAGCCGUAAACUAUGCGCGUUAGGUGU
RNAcentral lists this ribosomal RNA (623 nucleotides) under uncultured archaeon. RNAcentral describes it as "bacterial SSU rRNA". It matches the Rfam family "Archaeal small subunit ribosomal RNA", at positions 146 to 774 of the family's 1478-position model. The record is from RNAcentral.